GCACAAUGGGGACCAUUCAUGAGGCCAGCCAGGGAAGUGAUCAAGUGGCAGCUUUCAGCCAGUUCAGCUCUUCAGAUUGCCUCAAAGGAUGAAGAACCCCACCCUCCAAACCUCAGGAUGGAAGCCGGACUUGCAUUUGCUCUGAGGCCUAUAAAUCCUUUGAACUGCCUCCUCUGGCCUCAGACCUCCUCCCACUCCCCAUCAUUGCCAUGGAGAAAUGGAAAUUCUUUUGUGGAUAUCACAAUACAGAAAUUUAUACCA
Long non-coding RNA from Hemicordylus capensis (graceful crag lizard), 261 nucleotides. RefSeq lists it as uncharacterized. Lineage: Eukaryota; Metazoa; Chordata; Lepidosauria; Squamata; Cordylidae. The transcript is spliced from 2 exons. The record is from RefSeq and is a predicted model, not a curated record.